RNAcentral lists this long non-coding RNA (3659 nucleotides) under Coffea arabica (coffee). Its description in RNAcentral is "long non-coding RNA (CARA_LNC006831)". The record is from RNAcentral. Lineage: Eukaryota; Viridiplantae; Streptophyta; Magnoliopsida; Gentianales; Rubiaceae.
AAUAAAUAUUCAAGUCUUACAUCAUAAUCUACUCAAUUACUUUACAUUCCCAAAAUAUACAGCUUCCAAAAUCAAAUUUUAAACAAAUACAUUCACAAUUCUAAUCAAGUGAAGCAUCAAGUAAGCUUCUCCAGAAUUCCUCCCAUUUUAGCUCCUGUUAAGGAAAAACAAAUCUAACGGGUGAGCGGACGCUCGUGAGGCCAAGAAAAUAUGCAAGACAAGUAAUUCAAUAGCAAUAGCACUUACACAACAGUGACAACUAUAACAUUCAAGAAAUUCACAAUUUAUAAUAAACCCCCUUGAGUAGGAUGUAGGAGCUCUCAGGAGCUAAAUCUUUGUUUACUUUGCCCCAAGUUCAAUUCAAUACCUUCUCGUGACGACACCCCGUCACCCGGGUAGAUAAUUAAAUUCAUAGCACUUUACAUAUUUCAUUUAUGUUUCUGAGACGACUUGAGAGGCACCUCCCACCCAAAUCGGUAUGAUAUUUACUAUCGCUCAAUUUAUAGCUCUGAGACUGUCGCGCCCCAUUUUUUUGCGAUGGAAAAAGAAAGUGUUUAUAAAAAAUGUGAUUUAUUAAUAAUAAACGGAAAAGGACCAAGAAUGGGACUUAAAAAAAAUGCGACAAUUUGGGUCCAAAAUUUAGUCUAAAAGGGUUUUGAAGAAAAAUUAGGAGUCGCCACUUGGUAUCAAGUUUGGGUGUACCAAGUCACCCCAAAAUAUUUUUAACAAAAUAAAAUAAAAUAAAACCCUUUUAGACAACUCCAGGUCUUUGAAAACAAGAGAAAAUGAGUUCGGGAGUCACGGUUGAAGAAAGGGAAGGCAAAGGUUCAAUCAACUCAAACCUAAGACACCCUUUCAACCUAGUCUAAGCUAGUUGCGUGGUUUAGUCAAAAUUUUCUUAUUUUAACCCUUAAUUUAUCACAUUUUGAAUGUUUUCUACAUGGAUGCAAAUCUAAAUUCAUAAAAACAUCGAAAGGAACAAAUGUUCAUUCAAGGGUUUAAUUGAACCAAUCGCAUUAAAUGCAAAGGCCAAAAUAAUUCCUUGAAGGUGUCACGAGUAUGUCACGAAGCAAAUGAUGAAAUUAAAAGUAAAGAUAUAGAAAUUAAAUUAUAUACAUAGUUAUAAGUGAUCAAAGAAAAAGGAAAUGCAGCAUAAUGGGUACGGGAGACAAAAACUCGUGACAUAAUUUUCUUAUACAAGGAUUAAUGGGGUAUUUAAACUAAAGAGUUAUAAUCACCCAUAUCCAUGUUCAAAAAUAAUUCUCCUAAUAUGAACAAGCAAAUGAACUAACUUAUUUCACAAUUUCUUAAAUGAAGUGCAAUUCUAAAUGAUUUGAUUAACACAUAUAGAGGGUAGGGGGUAGAGGAUAAUAUAAUAGAAAAUAUCAUGCAAAUGAGAAAAUUCUAAAAAAUAAAAUAUACAUGGAAAUGUAAUGGAUAUCACACAAAAGAUGAAUCUAAUGCAUGAACAAUCUAAGGGUAUAGCGUUGGACUAACCCAUUUCUAAAAAUACUUACUAGCGUUGGACUAGCAAGUAAGCGGAGGGAGAAGCCACAACUAGCGUUGGACUAGUGUGGUGACGUUAUGCAUUAACAAUAUAUAGUGAAGCAAAUAAAGCAUAAAUUAAAACAAAUAAACACAUAAGAGCACGUAACACAUAACACGUAAGCAUAAUAUCUAUAUGCCAAAGUCCUAAGAAAAGCGGAUAAAACACAUAACACAUAAGCCACAUAAACACACAACUUAUCUAUUACAUCGGGGAGCGCCUGACUACAAUCUAGGAGGGAAAAAUAUAAUAAAACAAAUCUAAUUAUCCUAUCUAUUACAUUUUUGAGGUAUUUAAAUACCUCUCGAAUCAUUAUAAAAAUUAACUAAAACGUAUAUAAGAAAAUUUGAAUGAAUAUUUGAAUCAAAUAAAUAAAGCAUAUAAAAAUACAUAAACACAUAGGAACACAUAGAAGCACAUAAGAGCACGUAAUUGACAUUGAAAUAAUAAAAAUAGGGGUACCUCCCGUUUGAAGUGGUGACUAAAUGGGAAAUUGGAUUUGCCCUAUUUACCUCCAAAAUUAACAAAAUCAUCAAGGCACCAAUCUAAUUAACAAAUAAAUCAUAACAAAUGGAAAUAAAAAUAAAAUCAAUCAAUUGAAACACUUAAAUGAAGUGUAAUCAAUGACUAUAGAAGAAAAGCAACUUCUAUUUAAGCAAUCCAAUCUGUUAGGGAUCUAAUUGCAAGAAUAAACAAAGUUUUGGGGUAAAUUAUAAUUAUCAUAAAGAUAUGGGAUAAAAAUUAAAUAAAAAUAAAUUUUAGGGACCUAUUUGCAAUUAUAUUAAGGACCUGAUUGAAAGAAAUCAAAAUAUUUAGGGCCAUAGAGAAAAUGCUCAAAGGUACAGGGACUGAUUUUCAAUUUCGUAACCAGAUUUCUCAGCCAAAUGGGCCACUGGGCCAUCAUUUUAUUUAUUUCUGGGCCAAAAACUACCUAAGCCCAACCGAAACCCAAAGGAAAAUAAAUGGCCCAGCCCAUCUCUUUUGUCAAACAAACCCAGCUGAAAUACAUGGGAUUCAACUCCCAAGCCCAUCCGUAAAACCCAAAAAAAAGAACUAAAACCCAAGUCAAAAUCCAACUAAAAACAAACGCAAGCCCACUAAAACAAAUAACCCAACCCACUUUCCUUUUCUUUCUUUUCUUUUCUUUCUCUUUUCUUCCCCAUACGUUUCCUUUCCUUCUUCUUCGGCCAACCGAAGAAGCUUCAGCUGGCAGCCAUGGUGGCCGCCGGUGGCGCCGCCGCCACCGGACCGCCGCCGCCGAUGACCUCUCCGGUCACCAAAAAUCCUCAAAAUACACCUCCCCACUCGAUUUUUCGCGUAGAUUCCAUUUUCGGAGUUUGUUUUUACAAAAGAUGAUCUGAAAGUGGCCAAAAUGUCAAAAUACAGUCCAGUUUUUAUUUUUUAAAACACCCAAAUCUUUCACCAAAAAUCAUAAAAAAUAUAUUACAAUACUCCUUACAACUUCUGCAAUACAACUAUGAUUUAAUCCGGCAAGAAAACAACAUAAAAAACUAAAAUAAAUCAAAACAGUCCCCAAAAUUCAUUUUUUGUUAUUUUUGCAUUUUCACAAGCAAUUAACAUGCAUUCACAGAAAUCAUUUUUUUUUAUGUUUAUUCAUGGAUUCCCCAAAAAUUCAACAAUAUCAGUAACAACAACAAACGAAGCCAAGGGACAAACAAACAUCAAAUCAUGUAUUUAAUUUAAUAAAUUAAGGAAAGGAAAAAACUGAAAAAGAUGAAAGAAGAAUAAAUACCUCAAUGAAAAUUGUAGUCUCUUGACAAAAUUUGAUGAAAUUACAAGCUCCAAUAAUUUUUAUUGGCUUUGCCCUGUCCAAGAGAAAAUCUGAGAGUGAGUAUUUUAUUUUGCUAAAAAUGAGGAAGAGAAUCUGAGAGAGAGCCGAAAGAUUUUUCUUCCCUUCUGCACCCGAGGCCUGAGAGAGGGAGCAAAUGAGGGAGGUCUAUGGCAAUUUUUCUUCUUCUGCUUCUUUUGCUUUCUUUGCGGCCAAAGGACCUCUGAGAGUCAGUCCCCGAGAGAGUUUUCUUUUCUUCUCUCUUUUGUCCGUUGCUCUCCCGAGAGAAAUGAGGAUUCCGUCGUCUCCCAAAUGAGUUUUCCC